AAGAGUUGUAAAACUCCCUAACCCCUUGUGAACAUUACCUAUUCCUGUUGCUUCGGCAGGCAGCCCCAGGGCGGGGCUUACGGCUCGUACGUCGAGUGUCUGCCGAAGGCAUCCAAAACUCUUAUAAUUUUUAGUUAUCAGAGUCUACAAGAAAAUAAGUUAA
RNAcentral lists this unclassified non-coding RNA (163 nucleotides) under uncultured fungus. RNAcentral's name for it is "sequence contains ITS1". The record is from RNAcentral. Lineage: Eukaryota; Fungi.